UCCCUGGAGGACUAGUGGUUAGGCAUUGCUGCUCUCACCGCCGCUGCCCGGGUUCGAUUCCCAAUCAGGGAA
RNAcentral lists this transfer RNA (72 nucleotides) under Pangasius djambal. RNAcentral's name for it is "tRNA-Glu". The record is from RNAcentral. Lineage: Eukaryota; Metazoa; Chordata; Actinopteri; Siluriformes; Pangasiidae.